This 298-nucleotide long non-coding RNA is filed under the name Cicer arietinum (chickpea). RNAcentral describes it as "long non-coding RNA (CARI_LNC003653)". The record is from RNAcentral. Lineage: Eukaryota; Viridiplantae; Streptophyta; Magnoliopsida; Fabales; Fabaceae.
AUGCAAAUACCACAUGAGACACAUGUUAUCUCUACUACCUUUUAUUUUCUUCAACUUACACAAAAAAACUUAUACAUAUUUUAAAAUAUAGAAACAAAAAGAUUUUGUACUCCUAAAUCAUCAUCAUCUAUCAUCUGAUUUGCAAUGCAGGAUGAGUUUGUUAGGAUUUGGCAAAUUACUUACAAUAUCAACAUUUGUUGUAUAUUAGGGAAUCUAUUUGUUUGGCUUGCUUCCAUACAACCCAUGAUUUCGUACUUCGUCUUAAAAUUUCAAUUGUUCCUAAAGGUUACAAAAUUAG